RNAcentral lists this ribosomal RNA (433 nucleotides) under uncultured bacterium. RNAcentral's name for it is "partial 16S ribosomal RNA". It matches the Rfam family "Bacterial small subunit ribosomal RNA", at positions 29 to 507 of the family's 1533-position model. The record is from RNAcentral.
AACGAACGCUGGCGGCAUGCCUAACACAUGCAAGUCGAACGAUGCCUCCGGGCAUAGUGGCGCACGGGUGCGUAACGCGUGGGAAUCUGCCCUUGGGUUCGGAAUAACUCGCCGAAAGGCGAGCUAAUACCGGAUGAUGACGUAAGUCCAAAGAUUUAUCGCCCAAGGAUGAGCCCGCGUAGGAUUAGCUAGUUGGUGGGGUAAAGGCCCACCAAGGCGACGAUCCUUAGCUGGUCUGAGAGGAUGAUCAGCCACACUGGGACUGAGACACGGCCCAGACUCCUACGGGAGGCAGCAGUGGGGAAUAUUGGACAAUGGGCGAAAGCCUGAUCCAGCAAUGCCGCGUGAGUGAUGAAGGCCUUAGGGUUGUAAAGCUCUUUUACCCGGGAUGAUAAUGACAGUACCGGGAGAAUAAGCUCCGGCUAACUCCGUA